UUUAAAGCCAUUGCGAGUCGAAUGUAGCAAUACAUGGCGUACUGCUCAGUAACACGUGGACAACCUACCCUCCGGACGGGUAUAGACCCGGGAAACUGGGUAUAAUCCCCGAUAGAUCUCGGUCGCUGGAAAGCCCCGAGAUCGAAAGCUCCGGCGCCAGAGGAUGGGUCUGCGGCCUAUCAGGUAGUAGUGGGUGUAGCGUACCUACUAGCCUACGACGGGUACGGGUUGUGAGAGCAAGAGCCCGGAGAUAGAUUCUGAGACACGAAUCCAGGCCCUACGGGGUGCAGCAGGCGCGAAAACUUUACAAUGCCGGCAACGGCGAUAAGGGGACCUCGAGUGCCAGGUUACAAAUCUGGCUGUCGUGAUGCCUAAAAAGCAUUGCAUAGCAAGGGCCGGGCAAGACCGGUGCCAGCCGCCGCGGUAACACCGGCGGCUCGAGUGGUAACCGUUAUUAUUGGGUCUAAAGGGUCUGUAGCCGGCCGGAUAAGUCUCUUGAGAAAUCCAGCAGCUCAACUGUUGGGCUUUCAGGAGAUACUGUCUGGCUCGAGGCCGGGAGAGGUGAGAGGUACUUCAGGGGUAGGGGUGAAAUCUUGUAAUCCUUGAAGGACCACCAGUGGCGAAGGCGUCUCACCAGAACGGACCUGACGGCAAGGGACGAAAGCUAGGGGCACGAACCGGAUUAGAUACCCGGGUAGUCCUAGCCGUAAACGAUACUCGCUAGGUGUCGGCCACGGUGCGGCCGUUGUCGGUGCCGUAGGGAAGCCGUGAAGCGAGCCACCUGGGAAGUACGGCCGCAAGGCUGAAACUUAAAGGAAUUGGCGGGGGAGCACCACAACGGGUGGAGCUUGCAGUUUAAUUGGAUUCAACGCCGGAAAUCUUACCGGGACCGACAGCAAUAUGAAGGCCAGGCUGAAGACUUUGCCGGAUUAGCUGAGAGGUGGUGCAUGGCCGUCGUCAGUCGUACUGAAGAUC
This 975-nucleotide ribosomal RNA is filed under the name uncultured Methanosarcinales archaeon. RNAcentral's name for it is "bacterial SSU rRNA". It matches the Rfam family "Archaeal small subunit ribosomal RNA", at positions 43 to 1022 of the family's 1478-position model. Lineage: Archaea; Methanobacteriati; Methanobacteriota; Methanomicrobia; Methanosarcinales. The record is from RNAcentral.